UUGGAGGGCAAGUCUGGUGCCAGCAGCCGCGGUAAUUCCAGCUCCAAUAGCGUAUAUUAAAGUUGUUGCAGUUAAAAAGCUCGUAGUUGAAUUUCGGGACCAUCAUGUCGGUCGUGCCUCGGUACGUACUGGUAUUGUUGGUUUCUCCCUUCUGACGAACCAUGAUGUCAUUUAUUUGGUGUUGUGGGGAAUCAGGACUGUUACUUUGAAAAAAUUAGAGUGUUUAAAGCAGGCUCACGCUUGAAUACAUUAGCAUGGAAUAAUGAAAUAGGACGUUUGAUUCUAUUUUGUUGGUUUCUAGGAUCGACGUAAUGAUUAAUAGGGAUAGUUGGGGGCAUUAGUAUUCAAUUGUCAGAGGUGAAAUUCUUGGAUUUAUUGAAGACUAACUACUGCGAAAGCAUUUGCCAAGGAUGUUUUCAUUAAUCAAGAACGAAAGUUAGGGGAUCGAAGACGAUCAGAUACCGUCGUAGUCUUAACCAUAAACUAUGCCGACUAGGGAUCGGAUGAUGUUAAUUUUUUAAUGAAUCAUUCGGCGCCUUACGGGAAAC
This 548-nucleotide ribosomal RNA is filed under the name uncultured Glomeromycotina. RNAcentral's name for it is "SSU rRNA". It matches the Rfam family "Eukaryotic small subunit ribosomal RNA", at positions 548 to 1098 of the family's 1831-position model. Lineage: Eukaryota; Fungi; Glomeromycota. The record is from RNAcentral.